Molecule: transfer RNA, 69 nt
Filed under: Marmota marmota marmota (Alpine marmot)
Lineage: Eukaryota; Metazoa; Chordata; Mammalia; Rodentia; Sciuridae
Also listed under: 1 other name
Rfam family: tRNA
About the family: Transfer RNA (tRNA) molecules are approximately 80 nucleotides in length. Their secondary structure includes four short double-helical elements and three loops (D, anti-codon, and T loops). Further hydrogen bonds mediate the characteristic L-shaped molecular structure. tRNAs have two regions of fundamental functional importance: the anti-codon, which is responsible for specific mRNA codon recognition, and the 3' end, to which the tRNAs corresponding amino acid is attached (by aminoacyl-tRNA synthetases). tRNAs cope with the degeneracy of the genetic code in two manners: having more than one tRNA (with a specific anti-codon) for a particular amino acid; and 'wobble' base-pairing, i.e. permitting non-standard base-pairing at the 3rd anti-codon position.
Source: Rfam by way of RNAcentral
GGAAUUGUGGCUCAGUGGUAGAGUACUCACCUAGCACAUGUGAGGUCCUGGGUUUGAUUCUCAGCACCA